This is an RNA transcript of Cygnus olor (mute swan), 2224 nucleotides long. It is a transcript of the gene named wiskott-Aldrich syndrome protein family member 2-like, with no coding region annotated. The record is from RefSeq and is a predicted model, not a curated record. The transcript is spliced from 4 exons. NCBI's taxonomy places the organism in Eukaryota, Metazoa, Chordata, Aves, Anseriformes, Anatidae.
AGGAAACGGUGCGGAGGCUGCGGGGGGAGGUCGGCGCUGGGGCGUGGGAAGGCCGAGGCCGCUCUCCUGCCCCCAGGGAUGGGGGAAGCCAGGAGCCCCACAGGCUCUGGGGGAGGCUGAGGGGGCCUGGGUUUUCGAGGCUGCCUCUCCCUUCCCCUCGGAUGAAAAGCUGCAGCUUAAAAUGAGCUGGGGGGGGGGGGGGGGAUAACUGAGCUUCAGUUUACCUCGAAGUCUGGAGAAGCAGCAGAUAAAUUGUGGCACGAGGCUAGUAAGUGCUGGGCUGCCUGGCGCCGAUGGGGAUGGAUCGGGCACGAGCUUGACACAGGGGCAUCAAAACAUUUCCCAAGCCCAAUGGGCUUGUAAAUGCCAACCCCCUAUUUUAAAGCGACUCAACUAUGUGGGAACCCGUCAGAGAGCGAAAUUACCCGGAAAGUUUUGCCUUUGUCCUACAGGUCUAAGCAGCCCCCCAGCCCUGCAGCUCUCUAUCACCCCGAGCCUGGCCCCGAUCCCCCGGAGCCCGGCGCUGCCUGGGACAUCCCACAGCCCGCCAGCCCUCCACGGCCAGGUCAACCCCAGCCCCUCCGCGAAUUAAUCCCGAGCUCAAAAAUAGCCCUGCAGGAUUUCCUGCCUCCCCUCCCGCCACGCCGCAAGGCCGCCACACGUGCCAGCCGCAGCCCCGACCCAUCCUGUGCCCAUCAGCUCUGGGCACGGGCAUCGGCCGCCGUUGGUUUGUUCUCUACAGCCUCGCAAAUCCGCAGAGCCGAGGAGCAGCGGUUUCGGCUUCUGUUUAACAACCCGGCUCUUAUCAUCGCUCGCACAGCGCAGCCCGGGCGGAAGAUAAAGCGUUUCCACCGCGAUGGAUAAACAGAGAGAGAGCCUGCCGAGCUGCCCGGGGGCUGGGCAGGACCCUGCUGCCCGCGGCAGGAUGGGGCCCCCUGCCCCAGAUCAGCCUGGCUGUGCUGCAGCACACGUAGGGGAACCACCGGGGAAAUGUCAAUCUCUGAAUUUAAUCAAGAUCUUACACUUAAAACCCUUAGGAAGUACAGAGUGGGCCUUCUUAACUCCUCCACGGAUGGGAUGGUGGGUGAGGUGGCACAGUCACUAGAAAAAUGCCACGUUGGCUCUGACAGAUUAUGUUUGGUAGAAGGGACAGGGGGAAAAGCUCUAAUUUAUUCCCUAAUCCACCCAAAUAAAUUGGCUUAUCAAAGCCACAGUGUGCUUAUUUCGUGCAGGAGGGCUGGGGAGAGCUGUCCUGGAGCGUGCCCUGCCUGCGGCGGAUGGGAAGGUGAGCCCUCACCCGCGGGGACUGGAAAUCUCCAGGCUCAGGGCUCUUUGGGAAGAGCAGCACCGUUUGGGCUGCGUUCCCAAUUCUCAGCUUGGGGCCGGAUCCGUGCCUGAUCCCAUGAGUCCGACCCAAACCCCGGCUCCAGCCCCGGGGGCUGUUGGAGUCUGAGCUGGGAUGUCUGAGGAGUAACGAGGGGCGAUGCUGGUAGGCUCGGGUGGGGAUCUUCCGCGCAAGAAAAUAAAUAAAUAAAUAAAUGUGCUCCUGAGCCGUGGUCAGGAGGCAGGAGAAAAGCCGAAGGAGCCGUUCGCAGGCUCCUAGCAGCCUCUGCAGAGGGCAGGCUGGGGCUGCAGGAGCCGCCCUCGGCUUCCCUCCGAAAGCGACGGCUGGGGCAGGGGGUGCCGCGCACCUGCGCUCCCCGACACUUCCCUUUCCCCCCCGGCUGCUAAAUGAUACUUGGCUUCUUGGCUCCAGGUCGGAUAAUUAUUCCCAGCGAGGUAGACGUGUUCCAGAUGCACUCCUCCUUCCAUAACCGCGCUAAUGUUAUCAUAAGCCCCGAAGAAAUACCAUUUCCCAAGUUCCAGGCGGCCAUCUGGAUCGCGGCAGAGCUCUGCGGAGGGCUGCCAGCUUUCCCCUACGACGUUAUUAAGUUCUAGCAGGUAUUUCGUUUAUCGCUAUCCACCCACGGGCGACAUUUGGGGAGACGAGGCAGCAUCUCUCUUUCCUCUGGAGUUAAAGGUGCCGGGUCCUUUGUGAAACCCCGGGCGCCCGGAGCUGUUUCGGGCAGCCCUCCUGCAGACAGCACUUCCAGCGCUCAGGAUUUAGCCGUGGGUGGAUUUAGCCUGAUCUGUGAGAGGGUAAAAAGAACCAGAGCGGCCUGUCCCUAGGUAGACUGAGCCCUGAGCGUGUUUCCAAAACAGAACAUAAACAAUUUUAUUGUGG